UAGCUUAGACUUACAUACCCUAGGGUAUA
This 29-nucleotide small RNA is filed under the name Bombyx mori (domestic silkworm). RNAcentral describes it as "ovarian small RNA-22562". Lineage: Eukaryota; Metazoa; Arthropoda; Insecta; Lepidoptera; Bombycidae. The record is from RNAcentral.